This 391-nucleotide ribosomal RNA is filed under the name Acanthamoeba sp. Unb11. Its description in RNAcentral is "SSU rRNA". The stretch from base 1 to 330 matches the Rfam family "Eukaryotic small subunit ribosomal RNA", at positions 796 to 1115 of the family's 1831-position model. The record is from RNAcentral. Lineage: Eukaryota; Discosea; Longamoebia; Acanthamoebidae.
CGAAUACAUUAGCAUGGGAUAAUGGAAUAGGACCCUGUCCUCCUAUUUUCAGUUGGUUUUGGCAGCGCGAGGACUAGGGUAAUGAUUAAUAGGGAUAGUUGGGGGCAUUAAUAUUUAAUUGUCAGAGGUGAAAUUCUUGGAUUUAUGAAAGAUUAACUUCUGCGAAAGCAUCUGCCAAGGAUGUUUUCAUUAAUCAAGAACGAAAGUUAGGGGAUCGAAGACGAUCAGAUACCGUCGUAGUCUUAACCAUAAACGAUGCCGACCAGCGAUUAGGAGACGUUGAAUACAAAACACCACCAUCGGCGCGGUCGUCCUUGGCGUCUCGGUCCUUCACGGGGCCGGGGCGCGGGGGCGGCUUAGCCCGGUGGCACCGGUGAAUGACUCCCUAGCA